Molecule: unclassified non-coding RNA, 253 nt
Filed under: uncultured Gammaproteobacteria bacterium
Lineage: Bacteria; Pseudomonadati; Pseudomonadota; Gammaproteobacteria
Description: contains 16S-23S intergenic spacer region
Rfam family: Bacterial small subunit ribosomal RNA
Source: RNAcentral
UACAGAGGGUGCAAGCGUUAAUCGGAGUUACUGGGCGUAAAGGGCGCGUAGGCGGUUAAUUAAGUCAGUUGUGAAAUCCCAGGGCUUAACCUUGGAAUGGCAAUUGAGACUGGUUAGCUUGAGUCGGAGAGAGGGAAGCGGAAUUUCCGGUGUAGCGGUGAAAUGCGUAGAUAUCGGAAAGAACACCGGUGGCGAAGGCGGUUUUCUGGCUCCAGACUGACGCUGAGGCGCGAAAGCGUGGGGAGCGAACAGG